UGGGGAAUUUUGGACAAUGGGCGAAAGCCUGAUCCAGCAAUGCCGCGUGUGUGAAGAAGGCCUUCGGGUUGUAAAGCACUUUUGCCCGGAAAGAAAUCCUUGGCUCUAAUACAGUCGGGGGAUGACGGUACCGGAAGAAUAAGCACCGGCUAACUACGUGCCAGCAGCCGCGGUAAUACGUAGGGUGCAAGCGUUAAUCGGAAUUACUGGGCGUAAAGCGUGCGCAGGCGGUUUGCUAAGACCGAUGUGAAAUCCCCGGGCUCAACCUGGGAACUGCAUUGGUGACUGGCAGGCUAGAGUAUGGCAGAGGGGGGUAGAAUUCCACGUGUAGCAGUGAAAUGCGUAGAGAUGUGGAGGAAUACCGAUGGCGAAGGCAGCCCCCUGGGCCAAUACUGACGCUCAUGCACGAAAGCGUGGGGAGCAAACAGGGUUAGAUACCCUGGUAGUCCACGCCCUAAACGAUGUCAACUAGUUGUUGGGGAUUCAUUCCUUAGUAACGUAGCUAACGCGUGAAGUUGACCGCCUGGGGAGUACGGUCGCAAGAUUAAAACUUAAAUGAAUUGACGGGGUCAUAGCUGUUUCCU
RNAcentral lists this ribosomal RNA (584 nucleotides) under uncultured bacterium. RNAcentral's name for it is "partial 16S ribosomal RNA". It matches the Rfam family "Bacterial small subunit ribosomal RNA", at positions 355 to 1375 of the family's 1533-position model. The record is from RNAcentral.